UCCCUUGUGGCUCAGACAGUAAGGCAUCUGCCUACAAUGCAGGGGACCUGGGCUCAAUCCCUGGCUUGGGAA
This 72-nucleotide transfer RNA is filed under the name Bos taurus (domestic cattle). It matches the Rfam family "tRNA". From Rfam's summary of the family: Transfer RNA (tRNA) molecules are approximately 80 nucleotides in length. Their secondary structure includes four short double-helical elements and three loops (D, anti-codon, and T loops). Lineage: Eukaryota; Metazoa; Chordata; Mammalia; Artiodactyla; Bovidae. RNAcentral also lists the same sequence under 2 other names. The record is from Rfam by way of RNAcentral.